Molecule: non-coding RNA, 44 nt
Filed under: Schistosoma mansoni
Lineage: Eukaryota; Metazoa; Platyhelminthes; Trematoda; Strigeidida; Schistosomatidae
Source: RNAcentral
AGCUACUGACGAGUCCCAAAUAGGACGAAAUGCGCGUCCUGGAU